UCAACGCUAAUCAAACUGUUCAAGAAACUUACUUACCUUCCCUUGGUGCUUCAGGAUCCCAUGCUGACCACAUCUGUACGGAGAAAAACGGAGUCCAGCACACUAUAUAAGCCAGUUUCCACCUGGCAGAGUUGGUGUAAAGCAGAGUCCUAGAUGUGGAGAACCUCCUUUUGCUCUCACUCGAUUCGCACUGAAUGGAGCGCGUCACGAUAUCACCACUUAUACAUCUUCUCAAUGGCUCUCUUUACCAAAACGUACCCAGGACUUCCACUAGGGGUCCGUGUGCUCUAUUGCAAAUCAGCCUUAUCACACUCCAUCAACUGAAUGCCCGAGUCCUGAACUGCGUCAGCGUCUCUCAGUGGACGCGCUGCAUACCAGUGUCAGGAGGAUUUCUGAAAGUCAACACGCUUACAAAAUAGUGCCGGCCAAGGAAGGACAUCAACCAUCAGUUACGGAAAUUACAUAACUUAUUAAUGUCAGGCGAUAACGUUUUCAUAACUUAUAAUGGAAAGUAAAUGCAUUGGUUUUGUUGUUACACUUUUAAAUGUAGGUAUGUUUCUUAUUAUGAACAAACAAUGAACAGAUGUGUUUUGUGUGUGUGUGUGUGUGUGUGUGUGUGUGUGUGUGUGUGUGUGUGUGUGUGUGUGUGUGUGUGUGUGUGUGUGUGUGUGUUGUACAUGCAGAUCACAUUGCCCUCGAAAUGUUGCUAAACUGUCUGUGAUAGUCACAAUGGAGAGGAUUAGAAUAUGUAAGUCAUUUGAAUGGACUACAAUAGUUCAAAGUAUGAAUAAGAAAGAAAAACUCUAUACGAUAAGAUCACCAAAUCAUCAUUAAAGACUGACACUGUGCAAUCCAUCGACUGUGCUAAAUCGCCCACUUUGCUGUCAUUCAUAACACCCAAUGGUGGAAUGUCCCCAAUGUGUCAAACUGGUCAGCUUCAAGAGGAAUAAAUCACUCCAUGCUACAUCAACCUUCAUGUUUUCCAGCCAAACUAGUGCACUGGUAUCUCACCAUCACUCAUUUGUUUGGACAUCACAGAACCUCAGACAUCCCAUGUGGACAUUGCAAGAAAAUGGUUUGUUCAACUCCGAUAAUCUAACAUCUUAGCUUUUAAACCAUGUGCUAUCAUGGCCACCAGACCUGAAAGGAAAGGAUGUUGUGCGAAAUGAAUGACGUUCUAUUGUAUGGCAAGUUCAUUUGCAUUAAAUGACUUUGCAUUAUUAUGUUCAAAACAAAACUUCUGCCUCCUUUGGUGAAAAUAUGCAUAAGCCAGCUGCCUCAUAUAGCAAGUAGGUUCAAAGAAUCCUUGUCGCAGUGCUGAGAGAAAUCUUAC
Long non-coding RNA from Megalobrama amblycephala (Wuchang bream), 1333 nucleotides. RefSeq lists it as uncharacterized. NCBI's taxonomy places the organism in Eukaryota, Metazoa, Chordata, Actinopteri, Cypriniformes, Xenocyprididae. The record is from RefSeq and is a predicted model, not a curated record. The transcript has 3 exons.